RNAcentral lists this non-coding RNA (142 nucleotides) under Bacillus manliponensis. RNAcentral's name for it is "FMN sequence". It matches the Rfam family "FMN riboswitch aptamer (RFN element)". Rfam says of the family: The RFN element is a highly conserved domain that is found frequently in the 5'-untranslated regions of prokaryotic mRNAs that encode for flavin mononucleotide (FMN) biosynthesis and transport proteins. Lineage: Bacteria; Bacillati; Bacillota; Bacilli; Caryophanales; Bacillaceae. The record is from Rfam by way of RNAcentral.
GUCUAUCUUCGGGGCAGGGUGAAAAUCCCGACCGGCGGUGAUGAACAAGCAAAUAUUUUUCGUUCUAAGCCCGCGAGCCGUUAAGGCAGGAUUUGGUGUGAUUCCAAAGCCGACAGUACAGUCUGGAUGGGAGAAGAUGGAG